Molecule: long non-coding RNA, 1335 nt
Organism: Dalotia coriaria
Lineage: Eukaryota; Metazoa; Arthropoda; Insecta; Coleoptera; Staphylinidae
Exons: 6
Source: RefSeq, a predicted model, not a curated record
CGCAAGUAGUAACAAUGCAAGACAUAAAUUCGAAAUAUUUUUUGUUGUUUAUACGUUAACAUUUCGUGGUUAACAUUUAGAAUGUUGAAUUGUGAAAUUAUGGAGAACAACGACGUUUACAAGUGUUUUUUACAACACAGCAGUUUACAUGUGAAACCAAUAAAGUACAGAAGUGAUUAAUGGAUUUCCAACCAAAUUGCAGACAGUGUCGACCAUAAUGACUCAAUUGAAUUUUGAAGUUAGUCCAAUAAUACCGGGGACCAUUGUUUUCGAAAUGGAAAUAUGUAUUAUACUUAAGGUUGACUUCUGCUCUCGGAUAACUUCAGAUGUUUUUCUACACGGCGCUUUUGCUGUCGACUGCAAACGAAACGUUUUUUGCGGUGUCGUUGGCGUUCAGCAGAAAUGCCGGCCGACCGGCCGUCACGAAAGAAAGCUGCUGAAACUGACCGACCAAAAAAGCGCCAUUACCAUAUUAGCCGGCAAUAUGCAAAUCAAAGUCUGCCGCUGCAGGAGCAUUGCUGAAACGAAGACAGUUUGCGAUCGUACCAAUGUUUAGAUUUUAUUUCUUUUCAUAUCGUAUGAUUCAAGAGAUGCGAUAAAACGAUCAUGCAAAUAAAUCAUGCCGAGUUUAUUUGAUCGUGGCUGCUGUUUAUCGAUAUUUGGUUACAGCAGCGUUGUGCCUGGCAGUCCGAUAAGCUGUACACUGCAGAUUCGAGAAAAAGAGUUGUUUAAUGAAUUGGACUCCAUUAGAUACCUUCAAAUUUUGGUAAGUGCCAUUAUAUCGAUCUCCGCUCGAUGUUCGUAUGCCAACCUUUUAUACGUGUUUAGCAAGUGUAUCGCAAUACUGAUAGUGACCGCAUGUUGUCGCCGCGUGUUGUUGUUGGCUGUGUAGUUCGGUAUACAUGCAAUGUGAUUCUGACCAUCGAAUGAAUCACGCGUAUUCAUCACGACUAAUUUUGUCUCUUCAGUACAUGAAUAAGUUAAUCAAUUGAUAUUCAUUAAACAUUGAGCGGCAUAUACCGGAAUCUCGCGUGAUCGAGGUUUUACAAGUGUACUAGCGUUGAGUGUUUAUCAAUCGCAGAAUAAUUUUCGGUUUACCUGUGCGCGUGUGUGAUUCCGUCGGCUAACGGUUAUUUUUUCGCACCUAAAAAUAACAUUGGUAUAGGAUGAAUUCCUGCAAAUAGACAAUAUUGGUGUCCCGGAAAUAAGUUUGUGAGUGCACGAAUCAUGGAGUUUACAAUAUGUAGCAGUGUUGGAGAUGCACGUAUUUUAAGGCUUUACUGCCACGUGAUUUGAUAGCCAUCGAUAUAUAUUUGUUUGUAUAUUUUUUACUAG